UGGGGGAUAUUGCACAAUGGGGGAAACCCGUGAUGCAGCGACGCCGCGUGAACGAAGAAGUAUUUCGGUAUGUAAAGUUCUAUCAGCAGGGGAGAUAAUGACGGUACCUGACUAAGAAGCACCGGCUAAAUACGUGCCAGCAGCCGCGGUAAUACGUAUGGUGCAAGCGUUAUCCGGAUUUACUGGGUGUAAAGGGAGCGCAGGCGGUGCGGCAAGUCUGAUGUGAAAGCCCGGGGCUCAACCCCGGGACUGCAUUUGAAACUGUGAAGCUGGAGUGUCGGAGAGGUAAGUGGAAUUCCUAGUGUAGCGGUGAAAUUGCGUAGAUAUUAGGAAGAACACCAGUGGCGAAGGCGGCUUACUGGACGAUUACUGACGCUGAGGCUCGAAAGCGU
This 392-nucleotide ribosomal RNA is filed under the name uncultured Roseburia sp. Its description in RNAcentral is "bacterial SSU rRNA". It matches the Rfam family "Bacterial small subunit ribosomal RNA", at positions 355 to 762 of the family's 1533-position model. The record is from RNAcentral. Lineage: Bacteria; Bacillati; Bacillota; Clostridia; Lachnospirales; Lachnospiraceae.